GGUUACACGAAGCAGUUAGGUUUCGGGUAAUUCGAAAGAUGAGGAUGCUGAUCUUUUAAGUUCAAACGGGAAUCAUGGCGAAAAAGAAUCAGUUAUGUCGGAUAGAAUGGAAAUUCAGUUGGAACCAACGUCGGGUGGGAGGUAACUAAAGUGGAUGUGCGUACGGUCUUACUCAUGCUCUUGGAUGUCGUUUAUGUUUAUCGUUGAAUAACGUUGUAAACUUUUCAGACAAUAUGCUGUCUCGUGAUGUAAACACUUAAACUAUGAUUUCAGUUAUGUAAUGUUUG
This 287-nucleotide long non-coding RNA is filed under the name Helianthus annuus (common sunflower). RNAcentral's name for it is "hypothetical non coding rna". The record is from RNAcentral. Lineage: Eukaryota; Viridiplantae; Streptophyta; Magnoliopsida; Asterales; Asteraceae.